Molecule: ribosomal RNA, 404 nt
Filed under: Actinomycetes bacterium
Lineage: Bacteria; Bacillati; Actinomycetota; Actinomycetes
Description: Actinobacteria bacterium partial 16S ribosomal RNA
Rfam family: Bacterial small subunit ribosomal RNA
Source: RNAcentral
UGGGGAAUAUUGGACAAUGGGCGCAAGCCUGAUCCAGCCAUGCCGCGUGAGUGAUGAAGGCCCUAGGGCUGUAAAGCUCUUUUACCGGUGAAGAUAAUGACGGUAACCGGAGAAGAAGCUCCGGCUAACUUCGUGCCUGCAGCCGCGGUAAUACGAAGGGGGCUAGCGUGGUUCGGAUUUACUGGGCGUAAAGCGCAUGUAGGCGGACUAUUAAGUCAGGGGUGAAAUCCCGGGGCUCAACCCCGAAACUACCUUUGAUACUGGUAGUCUUGAGUUCGAGAGAGGUGAGUGGAAUUCCGAGUGUAGAGGUAAAUUUCGUAAAUAUUCGGGGGAGCACCUGUGGCAAAGGCGGAUCACUGGCUCGAUACUGAAGCUGAGGUGCGAAAGCGGGGGGAGCAAACAGG